Molecule: long non-coding RNA, 421 nt
Filed under: Rattus norvegicus (Norway rat)
Lineage: Eukaryota; Metazoa; Chordata; Mammalia; Rodentia; Muridae
Description: long non-coding RNA NONRATT011005
Source: RNAcentral
GUCAGUGCUCUGGGUUGUGAUGGGUUCCCAGGCUCUGCAGGAGCUCAGCAAAGGCCACAUAACGUCUUUUGAAUUCAGUCACUACUAAGGCCCUUCCAGCUUGGACCUCUCUGAGCUGAAAUGGGAUUUCUAUCCAUGAGGAUGGCAACUAGGUUGGAGAGCCUCCCCAUGUGUCUGUUUCCCAGCUGUUCAGGAUUGAAUCUUCCUGCUGAUCCUGAAGGGCUCUGGCAGCCCCGUAGGCUCCUGCUGGGGGACCGAUAUCCAGGAAACUUAGGCUCUUCUGCACCGUGGAGCCAGCACCUCUCCAGCCUGGCUUGCUUAUGGACGCAUGCAAGUAUCUGGAGUCCUUGCAGUACCGAGUCUGGAAGAAGAUGCUUGGGUCUGUUGAAUCGGUGCCCUUCAGCUUGGAUCCCAACACAGC